Molecule: transfer RNA, 85 nt
Filed under: Treponema denticola
Lineage: Bacteria; Pseudomonadati; Spirochaetota; Spirochaetia; Treponematales; Treponemataceae
Description: tRNA-Ser
Rfam family: tRNA
About the family: Transfer RNA (tRNA) molecules are approximately 80 nucleotides in length. Their secondary structure includes four short double-helical elements and three loops (D, anti-codon, and T loops).
Source: RNAcentral
GGAGAGAUGCGAGAGCGGUCGAAUCGGGCGGUCUCGAAAACCGUUGUACCGCAAGGUACCGGGGGUUCAAAUCCCCCUCUCUCCG